Molecule: unclassified non-coding RNA, 271 nt
Filed under: Peniophora albobadia
Lineage: Eukaryota; Fungi; Basidiomycota; Agaricomycetes; Russulales; Peniophoraceae
Description: partial internal transcribed spacer region
Rfam family: Eukaryotic small subunit ribosomal RNA (bases 1-46)
Source: RNAcentral
AAGUCGUAACAAGGUUUCCGUAGGUGAACCUGCGGAAGGAUCAUUAGCGAAGUUCGGAAUGCAUGUUCGAUGUUGAUGCUGCCCAGAAAUGGGAUGUGCUCGCUCGGAUGUGUGUCCCUUCUCUAUCCACCCCAUUGUGAACCAAGUGUGUGAGCCGAAGAGAAAUCGGACGCUCGCAUGCAAACCUUUAACAUACCCCAACAAAGUAUCAGAAUGUACCUUGCGUUAACUCGCACAAAUAUAACUUUCAACAACGGAUCUCUUGGCUCUC